Molecule: transfer RNA, 59 nt
Filed under: Salmo salar (Atlantic salmon)
Lineage: Eukaryota; Metazoa; Chordata; Actinopteri; Salmoniformes; Salmonidae
Also listed under: 1 other name
Rfam family: tRNA
About the family: Transfer RNA (tRNA) molecules are approximately 80 nucleotides in length. Their secondary structure includes four short double-helical elements and three loops (D, anti-codon, and T loops).
Source: Rfam by way of RNAcentral
UGCCUCAGUUGGUAGAGUGUGGCACUUGCAAAGCCAAAGGUUGUGGGUUUGAUUCCCAC